This 696-nucleotide ribosomal RNA is filed under the name uncultured bacterium. RNAcentral describes it as "bacterial SSU rRNA". It matches the Rfam family "Bacterial small subunit ribosomal RNA", at positions 111 to 823 of the family's 1533-position model. The record is from RNAcentral.
UAACGCGUGAGGAACCUGCCUCAAAGAGGGGAACAACAGUUGGAAACGACUGCUAAUACCGCAUAAGCCCACGACCCGGCAUCGGGUAGAGGGAAAAGGAGCAAUCCGCUUUGAGAUGGCCUCGCGUCCGAUUAGCUAGUUGGUGAGGUAACGGCCCACCAAGGCGACGAUCGGUAGCCGGACUGAGAGGUUGAACGGCCACAUUGGGACUGAGACACGGCCCAGACUCCUACGGGAGGCAGCAGUGGGGAAUAUUGCACAAUGGGGGAAACCCUGAUGCAGCGACGCCGCGUGGAGGAAGAAGGUCUUCGGAUUGUAAACUCCUGUUGUUGAGGAAGAUAAUGACGGUACUCAACAAGGAAGUGACGGCUAACUACGUGCCAGCAGCCGCGGUAAAACGUAGGUCACAAGCGUUGUCCGGAAUUACUGGGUGUAAAGGGAGCGCAGGCGGGAAGACAAGUUGGAAGUGAAAUCCAUGGGCUCAACCCAUGAACUGCUUUCAAAACUGUUUUUCUUGAGUAGUGCAGAGGUAGGCGGAAUUCCCGGUGUAGCGGUGGAAUGCGUAGAUAUCGGGAGGAACACCAGUGGCGAAGGCGGCCUACUGGGCACCAACUGACGCUGAGGCUCGAAAGUGUGGGUAGCAAACAGGAUUAGAUACCCUGGUAGUCCACACUGUAAACGAUGAUUACUAGGUGU